GACGAACGCUGGCGGCGUGCUUAACACAUGCAAGUCGAGCGGAAAGGCUCCUUCGGGGGUACUCGAGCGGCGAACGGGUGAGUAACACGUGAGUAAUCUGCCCUUGGCUUUGGGAUAAGCCCCGGAAACGGGGUCUAAUACCGGAUACGACGCACUCUCGCAUGGGAUGUGUGUGGAAAGUUUUUUCGGCCAGGGAUGUGCUCGCGGCCUAUCAGCUUGUUGGUGGGGUAAUGGCCUACCAAGGCUUCGACGGGUAGCCGGCCUGAGAGGGUGACCGGCCACACUGGGACUGAGACACGGCCCAGACUCCUACGGGAGGCAGCAGUGGGGAAUAUUGGACAAUGGGCGGAAGCCUGAUCCAGCAACGCCGCGUGAGGGAUGACGGCCUCGGUGUAACCGUCUUUCAGUACCGACGAAGCGCCGAUGAUGGUGGUGACGGUAGGUACGAGAAGAAGACACCGGCC
RNAcentral lists this ribosomal RNA (464 nucleotides) under uncultured bacterium. Its description in RNAcentral is "bacterial SSU rRNA". It matches the Rfam family "Bacterial small subunit ribosomal RNA", at positions 28 to 498 of the family's 1533-position model. The record is from RNAcentral.